GGCGAACGGGUGAGUAUACAUCGGACUGACCAGUCGUGGGAUACGUACGAAAGUUACGCUANUACCGAUACGAUCUCUGGAUGAAAGCGGGGACCGCAAGGCUCGCGCGAUUGGAGCGGCCGAUGGCAGAUUAGUAGUUGGUGGGGUAAAAGCUUACCAAGCCUCCGAUCUGUAGCUGGUCUGAGAGGACGAUCAGCCACACUGGGACUGAGACACGGCCCAGACUCCUACGGGAGGCAGCAGUGGGGAAUUUUGGACAAUGGGCGCAAGCCUGAUCCAGCAAUGCCGCGUGCAGGACGAAGGCCUUCGGGUUGUAAACUGCUUUUGUACGGAGCGAAACGGCUUCCACUAAUACUGGGGGCUAAUGACGGUACCGUAAGAAUAACACCGGCUAACUACGUGCCACACCGCGGUAUACUUAGGUGCAGCGUUAAUCGGAAUUACUGGGGCGUAAAGCGUGGCGCCAGGGCGGGUUUAUGUUAAGACAGGAUUGUGGAAAUUCCCCCCGGGGGCUUUAACCCUUGGGGAAACUGGCUUUUUGGUGGACUUGGCUUUGGGUUUGGGAAUUUGGCGGGCCAAAGGGGGGGAUUGGGAAAUUCC
This 600-nucleotide ribosomal RNA is filed under the name uncultured bacterium. RNAcentral's name for it is "bacterial SSU rRNA". It matches the Rfam family "Bacterial small subunit ribosomal RNA", at positions 97 to 671 of the family's 1533-position model. The record is from RNAcentral.